UACGGAGGGUGCAAGCGUUAUCCGGAAUGAUUGGGCGUAAAGCGUCCGCAGGUGGCUGUGUAAGUCUGCUGUUAAAGAGUCUAGCUCAACUAGAUAAAGGCAGUGGAAACUACACGGCUAGAGUGCGUUCGGGGCAGAGGGAAUUCCUGGUGUAGCGGUGAAAUGCGUAGAGAUCAGGAAGAACACCGGUGGCGAAGGCGCUCUGCUAGGCCGCAACUGACACUGAGGGACGAAAGCUAGGGGAGCGAAUGGG
RNAcentral lists this ribosomal RNA (253 nucleotides) under uncultured bacterium. Its description in RNAcentral is "partial 16S ribosomal RNA". It matches the Rfam family "Bacterial small subunit ribosomal RNA", at positions 524 to 776 of the family's 1533-position model. The record is from RNAcentral.